UACAGAGGUGGCAAGCGUUGUUCGGAAUUACUGGGCGUAAAGGGCGCGUAGGCGGCCUUCUAAGUCAGACGUGAAAUCCCCAGGCUUAACUUGGGAACUGCGUCUGAUACUGGGAGGCUUGAAUGCGGGAGAGGGAUGUGGAAUUCCAGGUGUAGCGGUGAAAUGCGUAGAUAUCUGGAGGAACACCGGUGGCGAAGGCGGCAUCCUGGACCGACAUUGACGCUGAGGCGCGAAAGCUAGGGGAGCAAACGGG
RNAcentral lists this ribosomal RNA (253 nucleotides) under uncultured bacterium. Its description in RNAcentral is "partial 16S ribosomal RNA". It matches the Rfam family "Bacterial small subunit ribosomal RNA", at positions 524 to 776 of the family's 1533-position model. The record is from RNAcentral.